RNAcentral lists this ribosomal RNA (848 nucleotides) under Xylodon aff. niemelaei. RNAcentral describes it as "partial large subunit ribosomal RNA". It matches the Rfam family "Eukaryotic large subunit ribosomal RNA", at positions 81 to 920 of the family's 3401-position model. The record is from RNAcentral. Lineage: Eukaryota; Fungi; Basidiomycota; Agaricomycetes; Hymenochaetales; Schizoporaceae.
UAGUAACUGCGAGUGAAGCGGGAAAAGCUCAAAUUUAAAAUCUGGCAGUCUCACUGUCCGAGUUGUAAUCUGGAGAAGCAUUUUCUGUGCUAGACCGUGUACAAGUCUCUUGGAAUAGAGNGUCAUAGAGGGUGAGAAUCCCGUCCAUGACACGGAUUACUAGUGCUUUGUGAUAUGCUCUCGAAGAGUCGAGUUGUUUGGGAAUGCAGCUCAAAAUGGGUGGUAAAUUCCAUCUAAAGCUAAAUAUUGGCGAGAGACCGAUAGCGAACAAGUACCGUGAGGGAAAGAUGAAAAGCACUUUGGAAAGAGAGUUAAACAGUACGUGAAAUUGUUGAAAGGGAAACGCUUGAAGUCAGUCGCGUUGUCUGAGACUCAGCCUUGCUUGCAUGGUGUACUUCUCAGUUAACGGGUCAACAUCAAUUUCAGUUGGUGGAUAAAGGCAUUGGGAAUGUGGCACCUUCGGGUGUGUUAUAGCCCUUUGUUGCAUACACUGACCGGGAUUGAGGAACGCAGCACGCCACUAAGGCCAGGGGUUCGCCCCAUGUAACGUGCUUAGGAUGUUGGCAUAAUGGCUUUAAGCGACCCGUCUUGAAACACGGACCAAGGAGUCUAACAUGCCUGCGAGUAUUAGGGUGGAAAACCCUUGUGCGUAAUGAAAGUGAAAGUUGGGACCUCUUUGAGGGCACCGACGCCUGGCCCUGAAGUUUACUGACGGCGCUACGGUAGAGCAUGUAUGUUGGGACCCGAAAGAUGGUGAACUAUGCCUGAAUAGGGUGAAGCCAGGGGAAACUCUGGUGGAGGCUCGUAGCGAUUCUGACGUGCAAAUCGAUCGUCAAAUUUGGGUAUAG